Mesocricetus auratus (golden hamster) is the source of this 696-nucleotide long non-coding RNA. RefSeq lists it as uncharacterized. The transcript is spliced from 5 exons. NCBI's taxonomy places the organism in Eukaryota, Metazoa, Chordata, Mammalia, Rodentia, Cricetidae. The record is from RefSeq and is a predicted model, not a curated record.
GGUAUGGUUAAAAUCGCAGCAGACAGUCCUUAAUGGUAACUGAGUCUUUCCUCACUCCCAUGCCUGCUUGAAACCACCAACUAUGGAGAGCAUGCAUGUCAGUUUUAAAUACUCUCUUUGAUAUCUUCCUGUCUGGACCUUUUUUGAGCUUUUGUCAGAGAAGUCUUCAAUGUCUCUCAUUCUCAGGCCCAGCAAUAUGUAACUGUCUGUAGAAGCCACUACCUACACGGGAAUGUAAGAGAUGUCUUUUAAGCUUACUAUGAAGACCCUAAUCUCGUGAUACAGAUAAUGUUUGAUCCAAGAAAAACCAAGAGAAGAUAAAUGUAUUAAAAGGUGUCUGGAAGGAAAAGAAUGGCUUCAAAUGAGUUCCGGAGACCACAGCACAGUUCAAAGAGGUAUUCCGGCAGGCAGAGAGCAAAUAUGGAUAAAAAAGAGAGUUAAGUGAAAUUGGUUAAAUAGGAUAAUAAUGGAUGUAGUUGGAGGACUCACGAGGUCUACAUGGAAGCAGAAUUGAGCCUGCAGGGUUGAGUCAAGCUCAAGAGGAGUAGGAUCAUGAAGGUCAGGUACUCCACCUCUGUCUCCAUGAUGCAUGCUGUGAAGCUCUUCACUGAACUGCUUUAGUCUUCCACACUCACCCACCAAGAUGGACUGAAAUCUUAAAAUCGUUGUUCAAAAUAAAUCCUUCCUCUUUUUAAG